GGUCGGUUAGCUCAGUCGGUAGAGCGUGGUACUAAUAUGCCUUUGGUACAUGCCACGGUCGUGGGUUCGAGCCCCUCACGGACCA
Non-coding RNA from Melampsora americana, 85 nucleotides. NCBI's taxonomy places the organism in Eukaryota, Fungi, Basidiomycota, Pucciniomycetes, Pucciniales, Melampsoraceae. The record is from the annotation of a GenBank genome assembly.